UCAAGAAAUUUGCUAAGUGAUUGUUUCCAUAUUCGGGGAAACCUAGGUUGAGGAGAAUAAACAUAGUAGGUAAUCCUGAGCCAAAUUUUGUUUCCCUUACAAAAUAGGUGCAGAGACUCAAAGGAAACUAUCCAAACAAAAAUAAAUUAUUUAUUAAUUAUUAGUUCGUUCCACAAUGAAUUUUUAUAUAUUUAUAUAUAUAUA
This 204-nucleotide unclassified non-coding RNA is filed under the name Scapania sphaerifera. Its description in RNAcentral is "partial contains tRNA-Leu and trnL-trnF intergenic spacer". The stretch from base 1 to 129 matches the Rfam family "Group I catalytic intron", at positions 27 to 158 of the family's 253-position model. Rfam says of the family: Group I catalytic introns are large self-splicing ribozymes. They catalyse their own excision from mRNA, tRNA and rRNA precursors in a wide range of organisms. The record is from RNAcentral. Lineage: Eukaryota; Viridiplantae; Streptophyta; Jungermanniopsida; Jungermanniales; Scapaniaceae.